RNAcentral lists this ribosomal RNA (566 nucleotides) under uncultured bacterium. RNAcentral describes it as "partial 16S ribosomal RNA". It matches the Rfam family "Bacterial small subunit ribosomal RNA", at positions 355 to 914 of the family's 1533-position model. The record is from RNAcentral.
UGGGGAAUUUUGGACAAUGGGCGAAAGCCUGAUCCAGCAAUGCCGCGUGUGUGAAGGAGGCCUUCGGGUUGUAAAGCACUUUUGUCCGGAAAGAAAUCCUUGGCUCUAAUACAGUCGGGGGAUGACGGUACCGGAAGAAUAAGCACCGGCUAACUACGUGCCAGCAGCCGCGGUAAUACGUAGGGUGCAAGCGUUAAUCGGAAUUACUGGGCGUAAAGCGUGCGCAGGCGGUUUGCUAAGACCGAUGUGAAAUCCCCGGGCUCAACCUGGGAACUGCAUUGGUGACUGGCAGGCUAGAGUAUGGCAGAGGGGGGUAGAAUUCCACGUGUAGCAGUGAAAUGCGUAGAGAUGUGGAGGAAUACCGAUGGCGAAGGCAGCCCCCUGGGCCAAUACUGACGCUCAUGCACGAAAGCGUGGGGAGCAAACAGGAUUAGAUACCCUGGUAGUCCACGCCCUAAACGAUGUCAACUAGUUGUUGGGGAUUCAUUUCCUUAGUAACGUAGCUAACGCGUGAAGUUGACCGCCUGGGGAGUACGGUCGCAAGAUUAAAACUCAAAGGAAUUGAC